RNAcentral lists this transfer RNA (68 nucleotides) under Desmognathus conanti. RNAcentral's name for it is "tRNA-Val". It matches the Rfam family "tRNA". Rfam says of the family: Transfer RNA (tRNA) molecules are approximately 80 nucleotides in length. Their secondary structure includes four short double-helical elements and three loops (D, anti-codon, and T loops). RNAcentral also lists the same sequence under 1 other name. The record is from RNAcentral. Lineage: Eukaryota; Metazoa; Chordata; Amphibia; Caudata; Plethodontidae.
CAAAAUAUAGCUUAAAUAAAGCAUUUUGCUUACACCAAAAAAAUAUUUGUUAAACCAAAUUAUUUUGA